RNAcentral lists this ribosomal RNA (492 nucleotides) under uncultured bacterium. RNAcentral's name for it is "partial 16S ribosomal RNA". It matches the Rfam family "Bacterial small subunit ribosomal RNA", at positions 29 to 507 of the family's 1533-position model. The record is from RNAcentral.
AGUGAACGCUGGCGGUAGGCCUAACACAUGCAAGUCGAACGGCAGCACAGUAAGAGCUUGCUCUUACGGGUGGCGAGUGGCGGACGGGUGAGGAAUACAUCGGAAUCUACUUUUUCGUGGGGGAUAACGUAGGGAAACUUACGCUAAUACCGCAUACGACCUACGGGUGAAAGCAGGGGAUCUUCGGACCUUGCGCGAUUGAAUGAGCCGAUGUCGGAUUAGCUAGUUGGCGGGGUAAAGGCCCACCAAGGCGACGAUCCGUAGCUGGUCUGAGAGGAUGAUCGGCCACACGGGAACUGGGACACGGUCCAGACUCCUACGGGAGGCAGCAGUGUGGAAUAUUGGACAAUGGGCGCAAACCUGAUCCAGCCAUACCGCGUGGGUGAAGAAGGCCUUCGGGUUGUAAAGCCCUUUUGUUGGGAAAGAAAAGCAGCAGGUUAAUACCCCGCUGUUCUGACGGUACCCAAAGAAUAAGCACCGGCUAACUUCGUG